Long non-coding RNA from Rhineura floridana, 5196 nucleotides. RefSeq lists it as uncharacterized. The transcript has 3 exons. The record is from RefSeq and is a predicted model, not a curated record. Lineage: Eukaryota; Metazoa; Chordata; Lepidosauria; Squamata; Rhineuridae.
UCUGACCUCUAUAAUGACUGCCUGUUUACAUUCCUUUUCAAGUGCAAAUUAGGCAGAUAAUUGCCCAUAAUCAAGUUAGUGUCUUCCCCCCUCCCAUUUUCUGUCUAUCAGUUUCAUAAGACAGUCAUAGAAAAACCCUUACACACACACACCCAAUUAAACGAGUUGCUUAUUUUAAAUUAGCUAUGUAAAGUAAUUAACACUCACAAUACCAAUGAUUUCAAAACGGAUUAAAAAAAGAAUAGGGGGGGAAAUGAAUUGCAAAACAGGCACGGAAAGUUGUGACUUCUAAAUCCUCUCCACAAAGAUAGAGAAUAUCAGAAAUAAUGGAUAAUCCAAUGGCAAAUCUGAUUACUGCAGAAAUGGAGACCAUCACUAGUGAAGACCUAAAGAGCAGCUGGCAUGCCCAAGGAUGUUUGGUGCAGGGCUUGCAUGCGCAUGUCCUUGUUUCCGGUUUAACCCUUCAUGUGUCCAGGCUAAAGUCAGUGUGAAGAUGGCAGAUGGGAGGAAUAGAUUAGGCUUCACUGGGUGAUAUGCAGCUUUGAAGAUGCACCUAGGACUACUGGAGUAGAUUUAUUUAUUCAGAAAUGCUCCAAAAUGUGUUUAAAGAGUAAAGGUAUACUUACAAGAAGCGGGGCCAAAGGAGAUACCUGUGUGGGAAGAAAACUCCUCCAGUUAUUAUCAUAUGGUUUUAGACAAUGAUUCAUACUUUCAUGGCAAUAAACAUUGGCACUUACCAAACCUUAACAACUUAGAUCAGGGGCUGCCAACCUGGUGGUGCCUGUCAGCAGGGCUCAUCAGGUCUUAGCCCAGAACAUAUGCAAAGAGUGCCCCUGUGCACCUGGAAGAGUAUUUUCUAUGCAUCACCAGUCACAUGCAUAGAACACUCUUGGGAGAGCCACAGAUAGGACUAAAAGAAUCUUAUCCAUAUAUUGGCUCAACAUCCAGGAUUUAACUAUGUGAGUUUUUAUCUUAUCUGGGGUAGAUAAUGGCAGGUUUUUCAAAACAGGAAAAAUAUUACAGAAUAAGAAUAAGCAAACAAAAAUGGGACACAAUCCAACAUCAGAGUUCUCCCCUACACAUCCCAAGUGCCCCCUUGAAUUCCCACAGGGGAAGAAUGGGAUAAAAAUCACAUAAAUAAAACUCCACACAUGGAGGCUUUGUGUGUUGGUACUGGCAUGCCAAACAGGCCCAUCAUCAGUCCAUGGCAUCCUUGGGCAACUGCGGGGCUGUCCUGUCCCCCCAUUUCUAGCGGUUUGGGGCCACUAUUUUAAACAUUACAUAAUGCCCUGGAAUCACACUGUGUCAGAGGCAUUGUGGGAAAUUUAAAAUGGCAGCUUUUCUGACAAAGACUGCAGUUGCCCCUGCUGCCAGUUUAACUGGGGCUCACUAGAGAUCACUUUGCUGACGGCCUCCUCAAGCCCCAUAGCUGGCCCUGAUGCCAAAAGCUAAAUCUGGGCCGAGUCCUCCAUAGGCUCUUUCAUUUGAUUAAGUUCUUUCCCUUUUCCUCAUGAGGUCGUCAUUUUAAAGCCUGUGGGCAGGAUCUGUUCCCUUUAAUACCAUAUAGCACCCGUUUGCUGAUGCACUUUUAAAUAUUAUUCUGUCAGUGGUUUCUGAUGGCCAGGGCCAGUGCUUCCAUUAAGCAAGAUGAGGCAACUGUCUCAGGCUGUGGUGGUGGAUUAGUUUCCCGCAGCACGUCUGCGUGCUCUACAAGCUGUGCUGUCACUCAGCUGCUGCCACCUGCCCAACUCUUGUGGGUCUCUCCAGAGGGGUCCUUCCUCAGACUGAGGCAUUCUAGGCGGGGUGGCCUGGGAGAGCGCCUGUCCUGCCACUGCUUUUCUGUGGUGGCGAACAGAAAUUCUUUUUAAAAAUGAGUUAAAUGUUAAGGGUGGAAUUCAAUGCUAAUCCUACUCAGAGUAAACCCACUUAAGUUAAUAGACGUGACUAACUCAGGUUCAUUAAUUUCAGUGGGCCUACUACUUUGAGUGGGACUUAGGGGAAUGCAACCUUAAGUUUUAAAUUUAGUUAAAAAAGAAUUUCAUGUCGCUGUGGAAAAAUGGUGGUGGAGGCAUCUUGCCCAAAAUGCCUCCCUCCGAGGAAAGACCCCUAUGAGGUAGAGAGGCUGCCAGCACCGCUACCAUAUUAGCAACAGCAAAAUACUUGAAAAGGGAGGAGGGAAUAGGGCAAUGGCUUGCCCUGGUCCUGCUCAUGAUUGCCUUACCUUGGCUAAUGAGCAGCAGGGCAAGUCAGCAAGGGUUGGCUCUGUCCUAAAGCCGCUAUGGGCUCGGGAGGCUUGGUCCAGUGGUUUUAUGGCUGCGCAGAUGAUCUCAGGUGAUCUGCAUAGAUGAGGGUCCCAGGCAGAUGGUCUGAAGGCACAUAAGGCCAGCUCCCUGCUGAAGUUAAGCAGGGUCAGGUGUGGUCAGUGCCUGGAUGGGAGACCGCCUGGGAACCAUAUGUAAGCCGCCUUGGGUUUCAUGAAAAGAAAGGUGGGGUAUAAAUGUAAUAAAUAAUAAAUAAAUAAAUCUCUGGAAACUUACUUCUACAGACAGCUGAAGUUGUGGCUUCUGGGGAACUGCUCUUCUUCAGGCUUGACCGACAUUCCAAAGAGGCUGCAGGAGUUGUCUUGAGGUCAUCCAGUGGAGCAGUUAACAGAAUUCUGGAAGUGCAAUUCUCUGAGGAAUGGAGAUAGAGAUCUCAGCAAAUUACAGUUCCCAGGAUCUGAACUGGGUUGUAUGUCCACUUUCCUUAUGAAAAAUGGCGAUUCUAUUCCACCUGGCUAAAUAAGAGGGAAUAUAGCGAGAGUUUCUCCAUCAGCUCUGCUGAAGCCAAUUGUCGUUUGGCUCCUCCUCACUCACAGCUGUCUCCAUCAGCAGCCGUUUCACCUGGCAGCAUUAGAGGUAAUGUUUCUCCUAGAUGGACAAAGUGGAAAGAAUAAAACAGAGCUGAUAAUGGAAAUCUUUCAAGAAUUUGAACAAAAGGCAAACACAGCAUUGGAUUUUGAUUUCAAAAUUUCUGAUAAUAAUUUGAUGAAAUUUAGUCAGAUUAUGAUCAAAUGGGCAAUGACCCCACUUCUGUGGUGUGACACAUGGAAGCUGAUCUGAAUUUUGUGACUGUAUGGCACUAUUGAUAGGUUAAAUACUCUAGCUGGACAUGAUCAGUGGCCUAAUUCAAAAUUUGAUUGAGCAAAUUUACAUACAGAAAUCAAUACUGAAAUAUGUGACUAGGCAAAUCCCCAAAUUUCCCUGUAAAAAUUACCAUAAUAUUGGCACACUGUUUUGUUUCAAACUCCCUAUCAGUUUGAUCUCCUUUCCUUUCUAUUAGCCAAAGAAACAUAUUUCUCUGCAGGUUUCAUGCAAACAAUCUAUGUAUGUUGACAAUACUCUUCCAGCGACUUCCGGGAAGGGUGACUUCGCUUGUGCCUGCUUUUUGAGAUGAGCUCUCGUCUCAGAAGAAGCUUUUUCAGUUUUAAAAUCAGUCAGAACGUUCUUUUUGACUGGUAAAGAUUUUCUCCCGGGCAGGGAGAAACGUAGAGAUUAACCACUAAAGCCUGUUUUUGUUGGGAGGACUGGAUUUCAUUAAUUUAUGAGAGAAGGUUCAGCCAACAAUGCCGGACGGACUUCCAACAAGCUCUAACUGAUUAAGCGACACGUUUAUCUUUUCUUCAAAGAAAAACGGACUUUAACAGGCAAGCAUCCUUCUUUCUAUUUUUUUUCACUUGGUUUAAAUCGUUGCAGCAAAAAGAGAUUUGUCAAUGAAUCAGCUAUAAAGAAUUUCUGGGUGAGUUAUAACUCUUCUCUUUUAUUCACGAAAUUAAGGAGGAAAGAAAUUGAAAAAGCCUAUCUUUGUUUUUAUUGCAAAAAGCUGGCCUGGAAGUGCAUUCUAAAGAUACAAACGGAAGAGGGAUUUCUAUUUCGAGGAGGGAAAAAAAUAAAUAAAUUUGAUUUAUGAACUUUGGAGUAUUAUAUGUCUGGGACUAUUUUCUCUUUGGUCUAUUUCAUUUUGACGAAUCUACUUGUUCACGAUGCCACUAACUGUUUUGAAGCUGGGAACUAAAUUUGUUUUGUAUUCCUGAACAUAUAAGAGAUAAGGCAGGCUGUAUGUCUACACUGUGAUGUCAUCAAGCCUGGAAUAUUAACCCAAUUGUGGCUGAAAUAAUUUUUGUUUUUGUGGUUUUAAGAAUGGCAAUCAGGAAAGUGGAUGAGACCAUGGAAGAAAUUAUGUUUCAGAAAAUAAUGGAUGAGAUUGAGAUAACAAAACAAACCCUGAGACAGGGUAGACAGGAGAUGAAAAUUGAAUUUGGCAAAAUGACGCAGGAGCUUAAAGAAAUAGGGGAUCUUGUGAGAGAGGGGAUUUAUGAGAUUAGAGAUGAGAAAAGAAAAAUUAAAGGGAAGAUACAAGCCCUGGAGAUUGGAACAAAUGUGGAAUUGGAAAAAGAUCUGGAGUUUAUGGAUAUUAGAAACAAAGUUUACUGUUUGGAAUUCAACGUUGUCUCUGAAGAAAUUAAUGAAGAUAUUAGAGAUAAAGUUAUCACUGUCUUGGAUAAUUUUUUUGGACUGGAAUGAUGUGAUGGAGCUUGACAUAGAAAAAAUCUAUGGAAUUAACUACAGAUAUGUGACAAUGGAAAAGUUCUUAAGAGAUGAGCCAGUGCAUUUUGUAAAAAAGAAGAACAGAGAUAUGACUUUACAACAAUAUUUCAGCAACAUAUUCAGAAUUGAUGGCAAGGAAAUAUUUGUGAUAAAGGAAAUUCCCAUCAGACUCUUAUUAUAUGACUAUGGCUAUGACAGCAAGAUUAAUAUGGGAUACUGAUAAUGGAAGAAUGGCUACUGAAAUUACUGGACUUAACAGGAUUAUUGAUAAUGGAAGAAUGGCUACUGAAAUUAUUGGACUUAACAGGAUUAUUGAAGAUGGAAGAUGGAAUUAACAUUGAUAAUGGAAGAAUGGCUAUUGAAAUUAUUGGACCUAACAGAUUUGAACGAGAUGGAUUAAUCGACAUGUUUAUUUGGAGAAAAAUUGAAAGAUAUAUCUCUCAAGGAACUGAAACCUCUCUUUGACUUUUUGUGGAAAGAAUAAAGUAAUGUUUAUGAGAUUUGAUGAUUAAUUAAGAUAACUACUGGAGGAAAGUGAUUUUAUAAUAUAAUUUAGGAGACAGGAUUGUUAUAUAUUGUAGACUUAUAACGGAUCUGCGACAAAUCGGAA